Molecule: long non-coding RNA, 383 nt
Filed under: Macaca mulatta (Rhesus monkey)
Lineage: Eukaryota; Metazoa; Chordata; Mammalia; Primates; Cercopithecidae
Description: lncRNA (ENSMMUG00000050891.1)
Source: RNAcentral
GAGACAUCUUUGUGCUUGGUGGAGAGCAACAGCUCCUGUAGUAUGAACUCAGGCUGGUGAACUCCAGGAGUGAAUAGCUGACCUCCCACUGCUGCAAUCAGCUGUAAUCUGAGAUCCUGCUUCAACAUUCAGACACCUUUAAAAAGGAGAUGUGGAACUUCAGUUCAGAUGAUGCAAUGAAAGCUGCAGACCUGGGAUCUGAAAAAUCUGCACUCCAUGGUUUGAUUUGUAAAUUAACAUUAACAACAUCACCACUCACUCUCUCACGGCUUUCUAAUUUAGACAACUGGCAAGAUAAAAAUGAACAUGAAAUGUUGAGAACAACCAUUGUUCACUGCCUUUCCUUUCAACACAAUAAAAUAAAACAAGAUUCCAUAAAAUAA